AGGAGGGGGAUAACGUUGGGAAACUGACGCUAAUACCCCAUAUGUGCUAAGUUGAAAUACUUAUCAUGAAAGUUCCGGCGCCUUGAGAUGAGCCUGCGGCUGAUUAGCUUGUUGGUGGGGUAAAGGCCUACCAAGGCUACGAUCAGUAGCUGGUCUGAGAGGAUGAUCAGCCACAAUGGGACUGAGACACGGCCCAUACUCCUACGGGAGGCAGCAGUAGGGAAUUUCGCGCAAUGGGCGAAAGCCUGACGCAGCAACACCGCGUGAGGGAUGAAGCUUUUUGGAGUGUAAACCUCUGUCAGUGGGGAAGAAACCUGACUGUACCCACAGAGGAAGCAUCGGCUAACUACGUGCCAGCAGCCGCGGUAAGACGUAGGAUGCAAGCGUUGUCCGGAUUUAUUGGGCGUAAAGAGUUCGUAGGUGGUCUAUCAAGUCUGGUGUUAAAGCCCGGAGCUCAACUCCGGAUCGGCCCUGGAUACUGGUAGGCUAGAGUGCAGAAGAGGCAAGGGGAAUUCCCAGUGUAGCGGUGAAAUGCGUAGAUAUUGGGAGGAACACCGGUGGCGAAAGCGCCUUGCUGGGCUGUUACUGACGCUGAGGAACGAAAGCCAGGGGAGCGAAUGGGAUUAGAUACCCCAGUAGUCCUGGCCGUAAACGAUGGAUACUAGGUGUCAUGGGUAUCGACCCCCGUGGUGCCGUAGCUAA
This 702-nucleotide ribosomal RNA is filed under the name uncultured bacterium. RNAcentral's name for it is "bacterial SSU rRNA". It matches the Rfam family "Bacterial small subunit ribosomal RNA", at positions 134 to 855 of the family's 1533-position model. The record is from RNAcentral.